ACAUGUUUCGCCUGGCAACGCUUGUGUAUUGUCGCUGUAUGCUGAGUGCAGUUGGUGAAAGGAAAUAUUCGGGGCGAGUGUGAUAAAAAAUAGGACAAGAAAAAUAUUUUUGUGCUUUAACUUAAUAUUUAAGUACACUGAUUAAUUGAUAAUAGAUUUAAAAUAUUUUAAAAUUCAAGAAAGUUGUAUAAAGUGUGCGAUAAUGCUCGUUUUUACCGCGCUUGUAUUUAAUUUCAUUCAAGGUAAUAAUGAAAAUAGUAUACCACAUCAACUAAAUAAGUUCAUGUUCAACAUCUGUAAAAAAAUUAAUAUGAAAAGUCAUGGGAGAAAAAUAAUUGAUAUUUCUGUAUAAAUAUGUUCAUAUAUAUUCAUUAAGGAAAAAAUGUUAACCCAUAUAUAGGGCCAAACGCCUUCAAAUAGUAUUAAUUGUGUCAAUUGCAUUUCAUCGCAUAAUAUUCAGCUGUUCAAGUUUUCUCAAUACGUUGCAAUCAACACCAACAAACGAACGAAUGGUCCAUGGCCAACGUCAACGGAGUCCCAAAUUUAUGGGACACCCGUUUCUCAGUCGCCUCGCAGUGCUGUGCUGUUUUCUCAUCCUUUUUCCAUUUGUGUUUUAUAUUCAUCUUCGCCUAUGUGCGCUACUUUGAUGUUUCGCUUCGUCUCGUUGAGCUCCCAAUUCUAAGGCCUGUCGGGUGUUUUCGUUUGUGCCUAUUAUUUUAUGCACGAAGCGCAUCAGGAGCAAAUACGAAUGGGUGCUUAAAGAGAAACUGCCAAUUGAAGAAGGUUAGUUCACGAAGCAAUGCAAACAACGAUUGCAUAUGUAUUCGUGUGAAUUGACUUGUGUGGGCGGUGUUUGGAGUGCAAUAGUACCUUCCGCCGACAAUAAGCUUCAAUGCAUUUACAUAGGUUUCUAGAAGUGCAUUUUGGCUAGGAGCAGUGAAGUAAAUGUGGUACGUUGCUGUGAUGAUUUAUUGCUGUCUCCUUUUUUUUUUUUUGGGCUUCCUGUUUUGAAUUUGUACAUAUUGGCAGUAAACGCUAUACAUACCUACAUAUACUUCUUGAGCUAACAAAUGAAUACAAUCAGCAACCGAUUGCGAAAAUAAGUUGUAGUAUGUGCGAGGUGUAUUCAGUGAGGCAAGUUUUCAAACGAACUGAAAGCAUUAAGAAAAUAUGGAUGUAAGUGGAUAAUGGGAAAAUCGUGGCAGCAGCAAAUAUUGUUGCUAACUGCAAUAGAUGGUUUUCAACUUCGUGUAGACGAAGAAGCUGCCGACUGUCUGUGCUAGUCAUAUUUGUCCAAUGGACAUUAAGCUGCCACAAACUGCAUCUACAUUUAUUUCGUUUAGUCGCUUAAAUGUCGUGUCAUUGGUGGUAUUGCAAUUUUUUACUUCUUUGUGUCUGCUAAAAAAAUUUUUUCUGUGCAAUUUCAGCCAAUGCAGCCAUUCCCGGUGCCCAUUGCCGUGAUUACAACGGCAAAAUGUACGAAACGGGGAUGCAUUUUAUGCCCGGGCCAGACUCAUGCCGCCUCUGUGUAUGUGAAAAUGGUCUACCGAAGUCCUGUAAAAUGGUCCUAUGUGAAGCAUUUAGCAAAUGCAAAUCUUUUCAAGUUGGCAAUGGUAAUAGCUGCUGCGAGGUGAUCUGUCUUGAUGACCAAUUCACUGAUGGCAGUACUGAUUUCGGUAUUUGACUGGUGGCCAGUGGCAUUACUGCCACACUUUCUUUAUCGUUACUUUUCUUUCUGGUAAAUCGUCUGAGACAGCGUAAGAUACGUGCACGCGAAAGUCGACAAAAUGUCGAGGAUCAGCGCAGUAUUGUUGGUAGUAUUGGUUACAUAGCCGGUAAUAUGGGUUACAUGGAAGGUAACAUGAGCGGCAUGGAUUAUUCUUAUGCUGGGGGCGCCUCACACUAUCCACUAUGGAAACCAGCUAGUGCUUACUUUCCACGUGGGGAGGCGCCGCCUCCUUACGAAGAGGCAGUCGCCAUAUCGCAAGCAGAAGCUCUAAGCGCACAGUGCACCGUUAGUGUGGCCACGACAGCCCACCGAGCUAUGGGCCUUAAUGCUACUGUUACACCGGUCGAAUUAAGUGCCGAAAUGCGUCGCAACAUGCAGCAGCAGCAACAACAAACUUUAGUCCAGCAACAUGGGAUACAUUUGCAUCAACCGACGUCAUCACACAGUGGUAGUGGCGGAAACUGUACUAGUUCCCUCGCCGGAAUGCCUAACACGACGCAAGCAUUGCAUCAUCAUGUUGGUGCGUUGACGUCUACGGCACAACCACAACAUCACCAACAAUCUCACAAUCAAAUAACGCAAAGCACCACCAACCUAAUUAACAUAAAUAUCAAUAGUGGCGGCAAUGUUACCACAAUUGCUACGGGGGAAAAUCAUCAACCUCCGUAUAGUUCUCAGAACACGAGUACAACACAGAAAAUUUGUUUAAAAUAACUAAAAACAAUAAAUUACUGGAAAUAUAAAUACUUUUGGAGUCUAAAUUAUUUACUUGUGCGACAUUGCCAUCAUUUUGUAUUUUAUAUCGGACGUAUUUAUUUUGCAACACGAAAGUGGCGGCAAUGUUUUACAGGAACCACAUAGUCAUCAAUCGUUACAACAGCAGCCACAAUUAAUGAAUACAACUCACAUAGGCAAUAGUAGCGGGGGACGUCUCCAUCUGACUGCCGCUGCGCCCAGCAAUUCAAUUUGUGUCCAGACACUCUCAAGUGGAGCGGGUGCCCAUCAGCCACUCAGUCAAUCAACGCAAAUGAUGGGACUCAACAAAUCUUUCCACCUUCAGCAACAGCCACUGCAGCAACAUCACCAUCAACUUACUGCUGCGAAUGUCGCCUGCCAAGCUAUGCAGCAGAAUAUGACAUCUUCGGUUGGUUCUACGUCGAGCAGCAACGAGUGUAGCUAUAAAAAUUGUCAUCUGAAUAUCAGCGCAAGUACUGCAUUGGCUUCGUCGUCGGCUGUGGGCGGAUCACAACAGCGUCGUUCCCAACGUGCACUGCCAGUUCAAGCCACUCAUGUGACACACGAUAUGCUGCAACAGUUUGUUACCGUUGCUGAUGUGGAAAUCAGCGGUAACACUGUGGGGUAUCAUUCAUUGCCGAAUGGUACUGGUGUCGGUGGGGGUGACAGUGAAAUUGAACAGCUUCGAGCUGCUACGGUGCCCACGUCAACCCAAUAUACUGGGUCACAGAUGACGGGGGCAAUUUCAACACCCAGUAUGGAUGUGUUGCCACUGAUGAGUGGAGAAAUCGCUACAAUUUCUAAUAACACCAGCGAUUCAAUCACACAAACAGCAAUAAGUGCGGUCUCCGGGCCGCAUACACUGCCUACAAAUGCGCACACACAAACAUUAAAAAGUGGUAACAGCACCAAUAGUAUUAGUAGCCAAAGUAGCAAAACACCCUCGUCCUCGCGCCGUUAUCAUCGCACUAUACCACGAUACUUUGCCCUUACCGAUCCGCUAAGUGACAAAGAAGCCUAUGGCAUAAGUAAAAGCAAAUCCGAAAAUAGCUCACGUGCUAGCGCGAGCAGUACCGUGUCUUCUGUAACUUCUACCAAAAAACCCACCUGCCAGUGCCCAGUGCAGCAUGUGCCCAUGUCAUAUAUGGCGACCACGCAACUGAGCAAUGUUGCACAAUGUGCCAGUAAUAGUGCUCUUCUUUCGUCCCUAAGUAGCAAAUUGAACGCAGCUUGCCAAUUAUCAGCGGCAUCUCAAACAUCGUCAGCAUCAUCAACUCUAGUGACAUCACAUGGCAGCAGCAGCAACGGACGCUCCAACACUGUUACUACAUUGGGUAAUCCGCAACGAGCCAAAUCCUCCAAUAGUCUUCAACAAUCGUCAACCAACGAUGCCAAUUGUUUCGGAGUGGGCAACACCUUGAAGCGCACAAUACAUACCACUAGCACCAGCACCAAUACGGCAACGCUCACCAAUAAUAACAAUAGCAACACUAAUGCUACAUCGGUAUGCAGUUAUGAUAUGAAAAUUGCCACCAUUUCUAAGCAAGUCGGUGAUAGCUCAGCUGUAGAUCUAGGAACAGCCAUAAGUGGUCAUCAUCAUCAUGCUGCCCACCAUUCCCACCAUUCUCAUCAUGCACAUAGUGUUGUUGUGUUACCGUCGCAGACCCACGACGAGAGUAUGCCCAUAGUUUUGGGGCGUGUACAUAAACGAUCCAGUGGUGAACGGGAGCGCGAACGCGAACGAGCACGCAGUGCUAGUAGUGGGCGUGCCAGCAGCAAUAGUAGCACGCACCAGAUGGAGAAUAGCGCGGCUGCAAUUUACUUGAACGGAAAGGGCGACGCAUACUUGAACUUUCCCCAUCCACAAAAUUUCAGCAAUCUCAAUUCGCAACAGCAGCAGCAGAAUCACCACCAACAACAACAAACCAACGAAACAAAUCCCAUAUUACCACCGAAACUACACAAAUCUCUAACGAAUUUAAAAACUACAACAAACAACAAUCAUAGUAUAAUGACCACAGCAACAGUGAUUUCUUGUGCUGCUGUUACUACGCCCAACCCCACCACCACUGCCACCACCUCCUCAAGUUGCCCAACCGUGCAAACGGUAUACACCCUCAGCAAACCAUCCACAUCGACCACAGCACAUACGAACCGCAAGGAGUACCAUAGUUUCCAUGAACCUAUAAAUGGCAACGGCGGGAUCAGCAGUUGCAGUAAAAAUUCGCCGCUUUCGCUAACUUUGCCGCUUUCGGAGGGAUUAGUAAACAACUUUGGAAGUGUGAGCACCAGUACUGGUAGUGCUAGCGGAAGUAGUAUUGGCAACAAUACGGUAGGUUCACAAACGCAUUCUGCUGAAAAGUCAAGUAAAAUCAAUUCAAGCACAUUUUAUCCACUGCAAAAUAAUCAUGUGACAUAUACACUGCCAAAAUAUAUAAGUGGCAAAGUAUCGUUGAAUAGCACCAUUGCCAGUGUAGUUAGCAAGGUGCCUUCAGUGAUCAGUAUACCAGUUGGUGGCGGCGAAGUCGAUUUAUUUGAGAAUAAUAACAGCUGUGUAUACGCCUUAAAUCACAGCAAUUCAACAAACGGUAAACAUGAAUCCACAGCAAUGUCCACGUCUAAGAGUAGCAGUGCAAAUGGCCGUAGCACAACAUUGCCAAAGAUUUUACGUGCCAAAAAACAGCAAGACAUUAGUGCUAGCAACAAUUGUAAUAGCAAUAUUGCCGGUAGCAACAUAAAAUAUUUAACUAACACAACAUCUGGAAUGACAACAGCAACCGCGUCGAUAUCGUCGGUAGCACAAUGCAAUAUGCCCGUCUAUCCUCAACAGUCCACUAGUUCACACGUCAAAUCAACCGCAACAGCUAAUGCAACAACGCAAUUCAACUCCAUCAUAACUGAUAGUGAUGCUCUGUCUUCUGCCAAACAUUUACCAGUCUGCACCACUUCAAAAAAUUGCCAAAAUCCAAAGGAGCAUUUUUUGCCAAACGACACUAGUUUGGAUGAUGAUUACUUAAGCGAGUGCGAGAAUUGUAAAAUUGCGCAGAGUGCCAAAUAUUAUUUAAAUGCUGAAGAAGUGGAGGCAAUACCACAAGAGACAAUGACCCUACAGCGCAAAUCGAUGGACGACAACAAAGAAGAGCAGGAGCAGUCGUAUUAUCGUAUUUCGCACACGCUACCAACAAAUCCCAAGAAGAAUGCUCCAGUCAAAAAUAACAAUCGUGAACCAUGGUUUUCUACAAUCCCUGCUAGCUCGUCAUCCGAAGAGGAUGUCAAUGAAUGAGAUUUAACGCAUUUUCUUUAAAUAAGGAAUUAGCAAAACCCACACGCACCAGUAACUACACAUACGUACACACAAAUACAUGCAUACACGAGAGCAUCGGAGUAAGCAAAACGGCUUUGGGAUUUGGCAAAUCAAAAAGUUGAAGUAUGUAAACGACAGUACGAACAAUUAAUGUAAUAUCUGCACAGCGGGUAAGUCUAAUAUGUUGCAUAAUAAGGCUAAAUGAAGAAACCCAAAGCAAGCCUUUCGACAAAACAUAUAUAAUAAGUUAAAAUGUUAUAAUAGAAACACAUUAUACAAUUAAGAGAUACCAAAAAUUUAAUCCCAAAAUUUAAUGUAUUCUUAUGUAUAGAAAAACGUUCAUUAAUUGUGCGCUUCAAUUAACUAAUAAUUAAGACAGGAAAAUAAUUUUCGUUGAGCAGUAUAUUUAUACAAUAAGCUAAGCCAAAAUUGCUUGUAUUCAAUAUUACAUGUAUAAAAUUAAAAAUUAAAAGAAAAAACACAUAGUUAUGUUCCCAUACGAUAGGGAAACAUUAGGGGAUAAUCACAUUGCUAGCGGUACACAUUUCAAUGGCAAAGAAAUUCGCAUAAUUAUUUGUAGACAAAGAUUUAAAUGACACAAGAAAACUUGACUUCAACUACCUAAUUUAUUUAGUUAAAUGAAAUUACAGCGUACUUUUUUAUAUUUUCUAACAAUUGUCCUUUACAGAAAAAUCAAAAUUAAAACAGUAAAAUAGAAAUUAUAUACGCGGUUAAUGCGUAAAAAUGGUAGCAGUAAUGUGAAUAUCCUUUCUAAAGUAAAAGUAUAAUAUUAUCGCUUGAGAUAGCCUCAGCAAAACAGUGUACGUGAAUGCCAAAAACGUAUUAAUUAGCAAGUGGAUGGUAUAUUGCUUAAAAAAUGCCAUUUGGAAGCAUAAAAAAUGUGAUACUUAAGGCUGGCGCAAUUAGUUUUAGAUAUUCUCAGCUGACACUUUACAGUAAUGCCUCAACAUUGAGUGCAUUUUCGCAAAUUCAAAUAUCAUACAGGUGAUCCUCUCUUUACAUGGUUUGUCGAGACCAAAUAUAUACCGUAUAAAAAACCCCAAAUUCUAUACAAAUUCGUCUUAUCGUUCUUCUUUCGGAACAAAACCGCGCAAUAGAAAAUAUCGUGCAAAACAAACACAUGACCUAACACGUUCCACAAAAUAUUGACACUAUUUUUCAAUAGGUUUGUAUGUACCAUAUGUGUUUUACAUAUGUAUUUAUUUAGUCCUUAUAUAAACAAAAACAAUUCAUUCAAUUGACGUAAAAAAUAACGAUUUAACCAAAAAAAAAAAUAGCGAGAUCGAUUCAGAAAAAAUUCUACUUUGAGUUACACUCACAUUAUUGGCAAACAGUGUUUUCACAAAUGUUUACUUAAAGUCUUAAGUUUUAAAAAAAUCAGUCAUAAGACACUGCAUCUUUUGUUUAGUUUUCUUAUAUAAAUUGUUAUAGCAUUUAAUUGCUCGCUGAAGCUUUGCUGAGCGUUCUUCAUUUGGAUCAUGAAUUAGAAAGUGAUUUUUUAAAUCAGUUGCUUUCUUUAAAUCUUGACGAAUUAGACUCGCAGUAAGAGGACCAGUUCCACUUCAUGCAUCCACUACUGUUUGGUUUCCAUCGUCAUUAUUGUUUCCAUCUAAAACAGAAUCUUCAAAGGAUUCGUCGUCAUCUUGAAUGUUGAAAUUCUCAAAACCCUUCUCCUCGAAUGAUACUGGUAAGCUGAAAAUCCGCGCAUGCAGACAAGUUCUCAUCUUCAUAAUUCGCCCUCAAUACGACGCCUUCCCACAUCCAUCAAAAGCUACAGAAUUAAAAAAUGUUUAAAUUGACUUCUAGUUAGACGCAAUACAUAGAAAACCCGGUAAAAGCUCGAGGCUUCAAACUUUUGUUUACUACCAACGGUUUUCACAAUUUUUUCAUAUCAUAUGAUGCAUUCGCGCGUAACAGCAACGUGAGACGGUCCUUUGCCGCCUUGAAACCUUUGACCGUUUUUUCGUGUUUCACGAUAUAGGACCGACUGUGCAUUUUUUUCCAGGAUGUCAAAAAAAAAAAAUCGUGUAAUAAGAGGAUCAUCUGUAUUUUGACAAAUAUUUAUUACAGUUUUCAUUAGAAAAAACAUCAAGAAAAACAACCAGAAACUGUAAAUUCGAGGUAUGUUCAAAGGGAAAGGUGAAUUUUGAAAUUGUUGAUAAGUACUUUUUUUAUCCAUCAAUAUCUAUUUUGACCCCUACAAAGUAAUCCCCCUCGGAUAUAAUACACUUGUGCCAACGCGUUUUCCAAUCCGCGAAGCACUUCUAAAAUGCGCUUUUCGGUAUGGUCAUCAGCUUUUUUUUCGAUUCUGACUUGAUCUCAUCAAUUGUGCCAAAACGCUUUCCUUUCUUUGGCUUCUUCAGUUUUGGGAAUAGAAAAAAAGGAGCAGGGAGCCAAAUCUGGUGAAUACAGUGGUUGAGGCAUGAUUACGGUUUUCUUUUGUCCAAAUCACAAACGAGCAUUGAUGUGUGCGCUGGUGCAUUAUCGAUAAAUAUCGAUAAUCGAAUGUACACAGCCCGCGAAAAAUCAAAAUUCACCUCUUCCUUUGAACACACCUCAUAUAUUUGAAUUUGAAAAUGAUUCUUAUUAUGUUGGAUUUUUCUAAAAAUUAUUUUUAAUUGAAGAAUGAUUACACUUUUUAUAUUGCUACAACAAUAGAAAUAUUACGUUUAGGAUCAUUGACCUGAUGAUUUCUCUUUCAACGUUUCUUUUUCGAACUUUGAACCAAAUUGCUUUUAUGAAUUUCACUGACUGAUCCAUGUUUUCAAUAUCACGGCCAAACCAUUACUGACCCUUCUUCAAGACUGAAAGUUGGUGGUCAGUCUUCAUUUGGUGUCCUGCAAUUAUAGAAUUGUCCAUUUGAUCUAAACAUGAAACCUUUACUUUACUCUAAAAUUCUUCUUUCUAUUUACAAAUAAAUACCAAAAUGUAUCAAUAUCCUUAGUCAACUGCAGAGAAGGAAAUAAUGUUGACAGACUAAGUUUUUAAAACAAAAUUGCUAUUUUGCCAUUGUCUAUAUUAUUAGAGUUCUAUUUAAAUGUCUCUCUAAUAAUACGAGAUACACUUUUUUUAAAUUUCCCACCUGGUGUGAAAUUUCGAAAAUAUCAUUUUUUUAUUUUUUGCUUACCAUAUUUCGAUUGUCUGUACCUCAUUGUAAUUGCUUUGAUUUUUUCCUGCUUAUUUUGUAUACAAAUACGUUUACGAAAAUUGUAGAAAAUUGUGUGACAAAUAUCACCAUUUUUCAGGAAGUAUCCUUAUGAAUAGACUAAAAAUGUCUAGUUUUCGUUGAAGAUAAAGCCUUGUCCUUUGCCUUGGGAUAAAGCAGUAAAAGUUGAUAUUUAUAGUUCUCGCAGCACUUUUUCCAUCCCUAUUCAAGUGUUUGCAAGACAUAAAUAUAUAAGCUUCAGGUGACGAAUAAAGUUGACCCCGAAAUCUAUUUUUGUUAUGAAAUAAAUUGGUUAAAGUCAAGACGGCGUAUGAUCGAUCAAUUAGAGUUCAAACCGUUUUGGGUGAAUAAUUCUUCAGUUGUCGAACAAAUGUUGUAUAAUUCAGAAAUCGCCGUUCUCCGUUGAUGCAAUGGUGGUAGUUAUUGCGCAAAAACAAAUGGACAUUUGUUACAAAACGCGUUGUGCAUUUGGUUUGUCGUAAACCGAUGCAAACGAUAUUUGUACGAAAAAUCUAGGUCUAAAAGUCUUAUGUUUUAUAUUCAAAGUAAAGUCUAUUUUCUCUCCUCUAUUUUAACAUUUACAAAUGUAAACAUUUAAUACUUACACAUCUAACCUCUUGAACCCAGUUUCAAUUACUAACCUGUCUUUCGGUAACGUGUCAUUACUUUCAUGCCCACAAAAACCAUUGCUCGUUACUUAAAAAUUGCAACAGAGCUUGUUAUGGCCAGAUAAUAUGAAGCUGGUUUGUAUUGUCCGCUUUUCAUACCUUGCGCCAGAUCGUGGUGACACAUACUCGUAUUUUAUUAUUUUAUAAAAUGAUUUUUCCGUAUAUUAUAAAAAUAAAGUCAUAUGAUAAUUAGUAUUAUCCUAUAUUUUAUCUUUAUAAACAUGUCAAAGAGAUAUACGAGUAUAUUCGUAAAAAUAUAGAUUUUUGCAGGGAUCCUAUUAAAGAUAAUGAACUUAUCGCAUUUUUAUAGUUUAAAUACUGAUGGGGCUGACGUAUCUAACUCCUGUAAAUCCUCUUUUAAGUCAGUCCUUUUUUGUCUUUUGUAAUCAAACACAUUUAUGUAUUGUGUUUGGAAAAAAAAAUACUCAUUGGAUUGGAUAGCCAUAAAAACAGUAUUGUACUGCUAAGAUGUGCGAUAUGUGACUGCUGCGUUGGAACUUAACACUUUUAUUUUUCCUCUGCCAUACUCGGUGUUGAAGUCAAUUGAAAGUUAUCUUGAAAUUAGUACAUUAUUUAUCAUUUAACAUUUAUACUAACUUGUUUGUCCCAUGUACGGAAUUUGGAUGGAGCCACUCUAAUAAUUAUUUAUGGCCAGGUAUAGACGAUGGCAUUAACAACAUAACCGAACGCUAUGCGUUCUUAUUUUGUUUUUAAAGGUAUAUAUAUAUAUUUGCAUUCCCAAUCCAUACCAUAAUGCUGAACAUGGCACUUGCUUGGUUUGCAUCUGCAAAGUUAUGAAAGCUCCAAGUUCAGAGCCGUCUGGCAACGAGGGCGUUACCAGUUCUACUUAGUAUGUCAUAGGAUAAAGAUGAAGGGAGUCAUCCCAUGUGAUGCCCUGUUUUUUUUAGGGAUUUUCAAUAAUUUUUUUCUACGACAAGCAAAAAGAUAGAGCUUUAAGCUUAUUAUCAUUUAUAAACACCUAUUUCGAUAGUAUAAAUAUAAAAUCGCUCUUCCUCUACAAUUCUGACUGAAACAAACAAAAUUAAUUAGAGUUGUUUUAAUCCGUAAGAGUAAAUGCAUUGAAUGGACUAUUAUCAAAUGAAUAUACCAAAAAUUGGACUUUUGGUAGACAUUUGAAAAAAAAGUUGCGAAUUUGCGUUUUGGUUUUUUUGUUUUUUGCUAAAAAAAACCGAAAUUUUGGGAAUUUAUACCCUACAAAUUUCAAGUCAUUCGGUCAAGCCGUUUUUGAGAUACGAGUGAGGAAAGUUUGAAAAACACAGCUUUGUAAAAAAGUCCACGGACAUUUUGAAUUUUAAGAAUGUCAUUUGGGCUUAAAAAUGCACAGCCAUUUUCCAAGGACUGAUGGUUGCAGUUUUCGAUCUUCACUUCUAUGCAAUAAUGUCCAUUAUGAAAAUUUUGUAUUUAUUUUUUUCUAAUUCUUUCUUUACAGCCAGCUUUUAUUAUUUAAAAAUGGUGUAUUUUUUUUUUUAAACAUUAUUUUACUACUGAUAUGUGAUGGUCAAAUAGUGAAAAUAUUCGAUUUUAAACGUCCAUGAAACUUUUCCAAAAAGAUUUGCGAGUGUUUAAUUUCUUAAGAUAAACCAGGAUUGUUAAUGUUACCCUAAAGUAAGAGUAUUUAAUGACCGCCCUUACUGCAUAUAGAUGAGUUUUGGUUAUAAGUCGAAUGACUAAAGCUCCAAUUCUAUCUAAACAUAUUAAAUUAAAAAAAAAAGUUAUUAAGUGUCAAUAAAAUAAUCAAUACAAUGUUCCCACUUACAGAAUGAUUACAAUAAAAAUGUUCAAACUUUUUCCACACCUUGCAACAUGCCGCAAUUCAUAAAUAGAUUAUGAAGAAAUAUUUAGCAUAUAAGCAGUGAAAGCUAAUAACGGCCAACGCUUUAACCGAAUCAAUAAAAUACCCAUGUGAAAGUCUCACAUAUGUUUUUCCAUAAUAAUCAUGAUAAAAUUUCACUGAACUGUUUGCACAUGGACACGCUUGCAACAGUACCAUAUGAAACGCAUUUUGUGAAUAGAUCUUCACAGAUCAUCUCCACUAUCGAUUUUUUUUUUUUGACGCGAGUACACACCACAGUUGAAAGCUUUUCGUAGUUUUAGUAUAAACAAUUUUUUGUUUUUAUUUAAAACGCGAUAACAUAUCCUUAAUGGGUGAUCGAAAGCGAUGAAAAUCAAGUCCAUGGAAUCCUAGAGCCGCAAUGGUUACUAUAUAUUAUUAUAUAUUUCUUCCGUGGAUGCUAAAACAACAAUUAAUGAGAAGAGAGCAUCGCAGAAGAACUCUAAAAUUAAAGUAAAAUUGUUUCUUGCCAAUCUCCAAUCCAACCAUUUGAGCACAUUUUUGUUUCGUGCGCUUUAUUUAGUCACGGUUCUUUUAUGAAGAAAGCUAACAUCGUGACAGAGAGCGUUGAUAAAGACUGCAGUUGUUGGUUGGUUUUGCUUACCGUCUAUUGUUGUUGCAUCAUUUAAGUUUCUCUUGUUGUGAUUGUGGUGUCAGAUGGGUUAUUGCUUCGCCACCGUUGCUGUUCUUGUCUUAUCUUGCACAAAUUAGACAACAUUUCAAGUGAACGCUAAGCGGUAGAAAUCAAGUUAUAACUACAAACAUUAACAUAACAGGUGUCCCAAGUAAAGAGAUCUGUAUACAAAGCCUAAUAUUUGUGAUUUCGAAUUUUACAGGAUACACAUGGAAGUCAUGUCUUAAAAACCGACUUUGCUUUACAUUCAGGCAUGACAAUAUAAAUACUUCCUGCGCUUCUCCCAAUGGCGAACACGAAUUCUCCAAUUACGUCGUCAGAUUCCGAGCGCACAUUGACUUCGUUUUCUUCCUCGCUGAAAUAAAGAGGGUAAAUCAUUAAUUUUUGUUUGUUUUUUCCAAUGCUUCGUUUUUUUGGAAACCUUAAAAACGAUAUUUGAAAUUCGCAUGAAGGACGCGAGUAUUCACCAGAGAUUUCGAAAUUUUAUAUUUGAGGUAUCUUCAAUACUAUUUACUCGGCAGCUCACAAGUCUAAAGAAACUGAUAGGUGGCAAUUUCAAAUAUUAACAAGAUACAUUUUGCAUUGGGCAGCAUGGGCAUAUAGUCCGUAUUAGCUUUUAUCAUGGCUCAAGUUAUUCCAUGUUGUUUCGUUGGUGUAACCUCUUUUUUUUGCAAACAAUAUGUGUCUAAAUAUAAUGUACAUUUUUAAAUAUGGUUAAAACAGAACCCUCCACUCUGGCACUCUGGCUGCAAAUAGAAUCCCCUUUUCUUUACUAUGCUCUAGAAUAGAUUCGCUGGAAAACGUUUCUUUAAAUGCGCUCUCUAGGGGAGGGUGAAUCAGGAGCGUUUGUAUUGAUUAAGGUCGGUAAGCAUUUUGUAGGUUUCUCAAAUUAGCAUAGUCUUAACUAAAAAUUUGCCAUUCUAACACAAGUUGUUUGUGCCGUAUAUGACAAAUAUUAUUAAUGUAAAUGGACUGACCACUUUGUAGGUUUAUAAAAAUGUUUCAUCAAUUUUUUUUUUGUUUCAAAUAAAAUAUUGGAACUAAUUAAUGGAAGGAAGUAGCAGUGUCAAUAUUAAAAAAUUCGUAAUUGUUGCCCGGCAUUCUUAAGUACAUAUACAAAAUUAAAAGCGCAAAGAAGCAAACAGUUUCAAUAGCAAACAAUGUGUGUAUUCUUAAAAUGCUUAUGGUAGCUGAAAAUGUACAUAUGUAUGUGUGUUUAUUUAAAAAUCUUGAAAUGAUUUUCAAAAAUAAUGCAAACGAACAAAUUUUCCUUAGAUGUAAUUUAGUAAAAAAAUAGUUUUAGAUAUGUACUUCAAAGAACUGUAAAUGGUAUUACUUAUAAAUUAUGGUAAGCUAGUGAUCGAGAGUAUGUUUCAGCAACCAGUAUUAAGCGGAAAAAUAUUAAAACCAAAUAUAGAAAAAAUGUGUGUAUACAACUCGUAAAAAUCGCAAAUAAAUGCAUUGUUUCAAAUUUUAGAAAGAAGUCACAAAUUAUCGUUAUAUAUAUUUAAAAUUUAAAUUUAAUAUAUAUAUUAAUUGCAAUUAAGCAAAUUAAAACCAAUAUAGGAAUGUACCAAAGUCUUAAAAUAAACAUAAGCAAAUGUUAAAUUAGAAAGCAGAAAUAUAAAAAAUGUCGCAAAACGAAAAAGUUUCAAGAAAAAUAUAAAACGAAUUGGAUUUAGUUGUAAGAAUGUAAAAGAACUACCAUAAUAUGUAACAUAAAAUAAUAAAUAAAUAAAUUAAAAA
This is a non-coding RNA of Bactrocera oleae (olive fruit fly), 13855 nucleotides long. The record is from RefSeq and is a predicted model, not a curated record. NCBI's taxonomy places the organism in Eukaryota, Metazoa, Arthropoda, Insecta, Diptera, Tephritidae.